GAAUAUGAAGCAAUACAUGCAAUUAGUUUCGACCUAAUUUAAUGAUAUUAAUUUAUCCUUAUUCU
RNAcentral lists this transfer RNA (65 nucleotides) under Pseudophoraspis clavellata. Its description in RNAcentral is "tRNA-Arg". The record is from RNAcentral. Lineage: Eukaryota; Metazoa; Arthropoda; Insecta; Blattodea; Blaberidae.